ACUUUCAACAACGGAUCUCUUGGCUUUCGCAUCGAUGAAGAACGCCGCGAAAGUGCGAAACGUAAUGUGAAUUGCAGAAUUCAGUGAAUCAUCAGAAUUCUUCUGGAACCGCCAUUCCUKGCGYUCCCUUGSUAUUCCGAGGAGCAUGCMUGU
This 153-nucleotide ribosomal RNA is filed under the name Ramaria sp. 2 AK-2012. RNAcentral describes it as "5.8S ribosomal RNA". It matches the Rfam family "5.8S ribosomal RNA". From Rfam's summary of the family: 5.8S ribosomal RNA (5.8S rRNA) is a component of the large subunit of the eukaryotic ribosome. It is transcribed by RNA polymerase I as part of the 45S precursor that also contains 18S and 28S rRNA. Functionally, it is thought that 5.8S rRNA may be involved in ribosome translocation. Lineage: Eukaryota; Fungi; Basidiomycota; Agaricomycetes; Gomphales; Gomphaceae. The record is from RNAcentral.